RNAcentral lists this long non-coding RNA (663 nucleotides) under Brassica napus (rape). RNAcentral's name for it is "long non-coding RNA (BNAP_LNC002469)". The record is from RNAcentral. Lineage: Eukaryota; Viridiplantae; Streptophyta; Magnoliopsida; Brassicales; Brassicaceae.
GAUGCGAUCUCCACUAUCCAUGUGACCCCUGAGGAUGGGUUUAGCUACGCUAGCUUCGAAGCCGUGGGUUACGACUUCAACACCCUCGACCUGAGCCAGCUUGUGACAAGGGUUCUGUCUUGCUUUGAGCCAAAGCAAUUCUCUGUGGCCGUGCACUCGAGCGUUGGAGCGAACGCGUACAAGCCAGAGAUCAGUGUGGACUUGGAAGACUAUGGGUGCAGAGAGAGGACAUUUGAGUCUCUAGGGGAAGAGAGUGGGACGGUUAUGUAUCAGACGUUUGAGAAGCUUGGCAAGUACUGUGGAUCGCCUAGAUCUACCUUGAAGUGUGAGUGGAGCAGCAACAAUAGCUGCAGCAGCGAGGACGAGAAGGACGAGGGAAUCUAGCAGAACUAUUUAUGAGCUUUCUGUUUUUAUGCAAUCUUUCUUUUGUUUCGUAAUGAAUAAUGGCUUGUGAAGUUGAUUUGUUUCGCAAUGAAUAAUGGCUUGUGAAGUUGAGGUACUCUCACCUUUCACAAGCAUGUGUGCUGUGUGUUUCGUACUGUUAUGUUUGGAUCUCUAAUAUAUGAAAAAGACUAUUAUGUUUGCUAUUAUGAUUUACGCUUUCUUACAUUACUCGUGUUUCCUAGUGUUGUCACAAUUGAAUGAAAAAAAAAACUAGAGGGC